AAAAAAAAUCGAUUCCACAUAAAUUCCACAAAUAACUGAUUCAGGAAUCUCGUGAACUCCGUUAAACUCAUCCAUAAUGAAUGAAAAAAGUCCUGCGUGUUAAAAAAAUCACUAGAGUUUUUCCGAGCUUUUUUCCUGUGGAAUUUUCUAAGAAUGCAAUCAUAAAAAUCUUCGGACGUCUUACCUGUAUCUUUUUGCAGGAAUAUCUGAAUUUUCACGACAUACUGUGUCAGAAAACCAAUCAGAUUGAUUUCUCACGACACAUAUGUAAUAUACAGGUUCCAUUCGAUGUAAUUGCCGAACCCUUAAGGGUUCUCAAUCGAUGAGUGAUAAACAUGUACUCUGGUAUAAAUAAAGUUUAGUUCAAUUAUGAUCAAGCUCAAACUCGGUCGUCUUACUCUUGCUCUAAGAAAAUGUCUUUAAAGGAUUUUAUCUCGUUUAUAACAGUGUCGACGAGGAGAAAUUUUUCUACAAUAAUUCCGCUUUUUUUGCGCCCGCCAGUGAUUUUCUAAUCUUUUGGUGAUAUUUUUCUUACCAGCCACUUUUUGUCUGCCAUAGGAUUUGGUUUGCUAUACCAAAGGAUCAAUUGUAGUUGCCGAGAGGUGAAAUCCAAAAAAAAAUCAACAAAGCUAGUGUGUAUUUGCUUUUCGAUAAGUAGAACCCGUAAAACUGACUGCCGAUGGUACCUGCAUAAAGUCUUCAUCAACCAAGACCAUAUGAUGAUUCGACGAUUCUUGAAUGAUUUUGAUUGCUUUGUUUUGCGGCUGCUGAAUUUUUCACCGAUAUUACUCGUGACCUGAAGAAACAACUGUUUAGUUAAUUUACCAACUAUGUUGCGCAACACCUCCUGCCUGGAUGCAGUUGUAUUUUAUUAUUUACGAGGAGGCGAAGGAAAAGAUGUUCUAUUCAAGCUUGGAGAGUCGGCGAUCAACCAAUAUUAGUGUGGCAAGGACGUAGUAGUGAUCAAUCAACUCGGAAGCAGUAUUCGGCUGAUGUCCAGCUGUGACGAUCAUGACAUCGAACCUUCGGGGAGGCGAAUACCACUGGAAUCGAGCAUUUCAUUGCGUUUCUGAAAAUAAUUGGUUAGGAGCAAGCGUAGUGUUUAUGUUGCUAAUGGGGAAAUUGUGAAAUAACGUGUAAAAUUAGGUUUCAGAGCUUCAAAAGCUUAACUGUUCAGUGUUUUGUUACUUGUUUUAUACCUAACGUCAACGAAUUUCUCUCGGAAAUUAAGUAGCCUUAAGGAAAUUAAAUUCAACUUCGAAUUGAGAAAUGUUUAAUCUAAAGGGGGAAGGAAUUGUAAUAUACAGGUUCCAUUCGAUGUAAUUGCCGAACCCUUAAGGGUUCUCAAUCGAUGAGUGAUAAACAUGUACUCUGGUAUAAAUAAAGUUUAGUUCAAUUAUGAUCAAGCUCAAACUCGGUCGUCUUACUCUUGCUCUAAGAAAAUGUCUUUAAAGGAUUUUAUCUCGUUUAUAACAACAUACAGUCUACAAAACCAAUGACUAUUUUUACGAAAUUCUAUUAACCCUCAAAAGGAUACCUUACAAAAAGGUCCGCGUUGGGACCCUGGGGUCCAUUGGACCCCAACAUAUAUUCUCGCGUAUCUCGUGAUCCUUACUUUUUAAAAGGUUGAUGUUUUCAGCAAAGAUGUUCGGUAAGUCAAGGCCUAUCUAGUGAUGAACAAUUUAUUUUAGGAAAUAUCCGAUAGUUGGCGCUAGAGAGCAUUCCAAAACGCCCCUAAUCAAUGGGAUGUAACAUACCAAAGCAAGCGGACAAGACGCACAUAACAAAAGAAUAAAUCACACUUCUGUAAAUGGGUAGACAUAAAUGUCCGGCAGCUCAAAAGGGUUCGUUCAAAUAUUACGUAACGCUAGGGGAGUGUCUAGCGCUGUAUUACGCUUUAUAAAAAAAACAUAAUUUACCACACAAAAGUUUUUACGUGGAGUAGGGAGGAGUUCUGAAAAUGUCAAAUUUUGCGUUACGUAUUAUUUGAAUGAACCCAAAGAGACAUCACAGACAAACAGACAUAUCAUUGAUAAAAUAACAUCUCAUAUAUCGCAAGAUCCUGAUUACUUAUAAAGUUGGUGUCUUCGGCAAAGUUGUUUGAUUGGUGAAGGGGCGCUAGUGAGUAUACAAAUUUUGUAUCUCAUAUAUCUCAGGAUUCUGAUUACUUAGAAAGUUAGUUUUGUUCGGGAGGCCAAAUAUUUAUUUGAUUCGGAACUUUGGCAUAGGCUGGUGCUAAUGAACAAUUUUUUUACAUUUUAUAUCUGUUGUACAUCGGAAUACUUAUUAUUUACAGAGAUGGUGUCUACGGCAAAGUUUUUGGCAGGCAUGGGGCUAAAAUAUAUAGACACUAUAGAAUUGACAGGCUUACGGAUACAUAAUUGAGUGAUGAAAUUGUUAUGUACAGUUUAUAUUUUAGAAGAAUCUCGGGAGAAAUUCCUAGAAGAAUCCCGAGAGGCAUUCCUAGAGCACUCCCAGAUGGAAUUCCUGUAAGAAUUCCUGGGGGAAUGUUGGGAGAAAAUCUUAGAAGAAUCCCAGGAGAAAUUCCAAGAGGAAUCUCAGCAGGAAUUCCUGUAGGGAACGCGGGAGGUUCCUGGAAGAACCCCGAAGGAUUUCUUAGAGGAAUCCCGGGAGCACUACUGGUAUGCACUACGGGAUUCUUAAAUGAAUCCCGGGAGGAAUUUCUGGAAAAAAAAAUGCGGAUUCCAAGUGCAUUUUCUAGUUUCUAGAUGAAGCCCUGGAGGAACCUUUGGAGAAUCAUUGAAAGAUUCCCUGUAUUAAUUUCAAAUCAGAGUUAAUUGAAAUUGAAAACUUACAUUCAUAUGAGUAAUUCCGUCGAAGACAUCAACUCCGAAUAUUUUCUCUCGAUCGAGACAUCAACGUAACAAAAGUACAGGGGAUGGCCAAAAUGUUUGGGAUAGGUAACUUUUUUUUCUCUCACAAAAAAAUUCAACAAGCUAUAACUUUUCAUAGAGCGCAUCAAAAAAUCUCAAAUUUUGACUGCUUGUCAACCUAUUAUGUGUGCAUCAUUGGUACAAAUUUGGGCUCGAUUGAUUAAUAUUUCGCAAAGUUAGAACCGUUCGCGUAAAACACUAUUUUUCAGACAACUCAUUUUUGAGGUGUCAUAUCUCGGAAACCAGCGAACCGAAUUGAAUGAAAUUUUGAACGUACACUAACAAUAUGUAAAUGCUUCACAAACUAUUAAAACAUACACACUUAGAAUAAAUUACAGUAUUCGGUGAAAAAAAUCACCGAAACUGGUCUGUAAACAAGCAAACUACAGUAUUACGGCGAAAUCGAUGAAAUUGCAGGAGAAAAUCGGUGAAAUCUAAGAAAUCACCGAAGAACCGGUGAAAUCAGACAAAUUUACAGGGCCCCUGUGAAUAUUUUACCGAACAGAUCGGUGAUGGGACUAUUUUACCGUACUACUGUAAAAUGCGUUUGACAGCUACGCCGGCAGCUUCGAGCAUCAGUUCUAUUACAAUUUGCGCAUCAUCUCCAAGCAAGACUCUCUUGUCCAGUGGCAGCAAGUGUGGUUCCUGAUCAGAAGGCCAUGUAUUCAAUCCCAUAAUCGACGUUUUUUAUGAAAAUAUUGUUUUUUUGUGCUCGCAAAAAAUCGCCGUAAAUUUGUAAAAUUUACCGUACGUUCAGUGAUAUUGAGAAUUCAUUUGUAAACAAACAUACCGAACGUUCUGCGAUUUUUACGGUAAAUUUGUAAAAAGUACCGAAUGUUCCGGUAAUUUUGACAGUUGCAUUUUCCUGAGAUUCGCAGUACGUUCGGUGGUUUGAAAAAUCACCGAACUUUUUACCGUACGUUCAGCUGUUGAGAUUACGGUAAAAUUUUACCGUAAUCCGUCAUUUUUUCUAAGUGUGUAGGUACUUUUUAAACGUUGAAAAAAGUUAUCAUGGAUUGACACUUUUUGGAUUUUCCUCGAAAAAAUGUAUUUUUUUUACGUCAAUGUCAAUAAAUUUUAGUGUUGAUAUCCAAAGAUUUUCCAUUUCUGUUCUCAAGUUAUCUCUAAUCAGAUAUAUUAGAGCCUAUUAAGAUUGAAGGAAGAACACAUUUAGUAAUUUUUGGGUGGUAUUGUAAAUUUGACUUAUUUUCCUCUAUAUGGGUAAAAAUUUCAAUCCGGUAUAACUUAAUUCGCCGUGAGAAAAUAUAACAUUUCAUAACGUCGUAUUGAGU
Molecule: long non-coding RNA, 4186 nt
Organism: Aedes albopictus (Asian tiger mosquito)
Lineage: Eukaryota; Metazoa; Arthropoda; Insecta; Diptera; Culicidae
Exons: 2
Source: RefSeq, a predicted model, not a curated record